GAUGAACGCUGGCGGCGUGCCUAAUACAUGCAAGUCGAGCGAAAAGAUGAGGAGCUUGUGCCUCUGACGUUAGCGGCGGACGGGUGAGUAACACGUGGAUAACCUACCUAUAUGACGGGGAUAACUUCGGGAAACCGGAGAUAAUACCGGAGAAUAUCUUGAACCGCAUGGUUCAAUGGUGAAAGACGGCUUUGCUGUCACUUAUAGCUGGUUCCGCGCUGCAUUAGCGAGUUGGUAAGGUAACGGCUUACCAAGGAAACGAUGCGUAGCCGACCUGAGAGGCUGAUCGGCCACCCUGGAACUGAGCCACGGUCCAGACUCCUACGGGAGGCAGCAGUAGGGAAUCUUCCGCAAUGGGCGAAAGCCUGACGGAGCAACGCCGCGUGAGUGAUGAAGGUCUUCGGAUCGUAAAACUCUGUUAUUGGGGAAGAACAACUGUGUAAGUAACCAUGCACGUCUUGACGGUACCUAAUCAGAAAGCCACGGCUAACUACGUG
RNAcentral lists this ribosomal RNA (497 nucleotides) under uncultured bacterium. Its description in RNAcentral is "partial 16S ribosomal RNA". It matches the Rfam family "Bacterial small subunit ribosomal RNA", at positions 28 to 507 of the family's 1533-position model. The record is from RNAcentral.